UAGGGAAUAUUGCACAAUGGGCGAAAGCCUGAUGCAGCAACGCCGCGUGCGCGAUGAAGGCCUUCGGGUUGUAAAGCGCUUUUCGGGGAGACGAGGAAGGACGGUAUCCCCGGAAUAAGGAUCGGCUAACUACGUGCCAGCAGCCGCGGUAAAACGUAGGAUCCGAGCGUUAUCCGAAUUCACUGGGCGUAAAGCGCGAGCAGGCGGUACGAUAAGUUGGGUGUAAAAUCUCCUGGCUCAACUGGGAGAGGACGUUCAAUACCGUCGAACUAGAGGGCGGUAGAGGGAGGUGGAAUUCCCGGUGUAGUGGUGAAAUGCGUAGAUAUCGGGAGGAACACCAGUGGCGAAAGCGGCCUCCUGGACCGUGCCUGACGCUGAGAUGCGAAAGCUAGGGGAGCGAACGG
RNAcentral lists this ribosomal RNA (404 nucleotides) under uncultured bacterium. RNAcentral describes it as "bacterial SSU rRNA". It matches the Rfam family "Bacterial small subunit ribosomal RNA", at positions 355 to 775 of the family's 1533-position model. The record is from RNAcentral.